Molecule: ribosomal RNA, 492 nt
Filed under: uncultured bacterium
Lineage: Bacteria
Description: bacterial SSU rRNA
Rfam family: Bacterial small subunit ribosomal RNA
Source: RNAcentral
GACGAACGCUGGCGGCGCGCUUAAUACAUGCAAGUCGAACGAGAAUCAUUGGUGCUUGCACUGAUGAGGAAAGUGGCGAACGGGUGAGUAACACAUGAGAAACCUGCCCCAAAGACCGGGAUAAGCUCUGGAAACGGAGUCUAAUACCGGAUACCUUCUUUUUAUCACAUGUUAAAAAGAAGAAAUGCUCCGGCGCUUUGGGAUGGUCUCGUGGUCUAUCAGCUUGUUGGUGAGGUAAAAGCUCACCAAGGCAUCGACGGAUAGCUGGUCUGAGAGGAUGUCCAGCCACAUUGGAACUGAGAUACGGUCCAAACUCCUACGGGAGGCAGCAGUAGGGAAUCUUGCACAAUGAGGGAAACCUUGAUGCAGCGACGCCGCGUGCGGGACGAAGGCCCUAGGGUUGUAAACCGCUUUCAGUAGGGACGAAAGUGACGGUACCUACAGAAGAAGCCCCGGCCAACUAUGUGCCAGCAGCCGCGGUAAUGUCGUACG